UGGAAGGGGCGCUGUGGCGGCGGGGAGCCCGCGGCCCUCGCGGUGACGCGGCGGAGCCUCCCGGUAGGAGUCUGUCAGAGAGAGCAGCCCCGCGCGCCGUCCCCACGCUCCCGACCCCGCGCUCUCCUUCAGCACCAGGGACAGGCGCUGCGCCACGACAGCCGAGGAGCGGCCGGGCCCUGGCGCGGCCUGAGGGCUGCGCGCGGCGCGGGGCGGCGGCCUGCGGGGCUGCUGUGGUACCGCUGUGGUACCGCUGGGCCAGAGUUCCCGUCGGCGAGGGCUGUGACUUACUGGUGCAGUUCGCACGAAGGGUUCGUCAUAUCUGAGGCAGCAUGCAGACCAGAUGGGGAAUGAUUUUCAGAAGUAAUCUGUGCAGAAAUUGUUAUUUACUACUGAGUUGCCUGGUACUACUGCCUCGACUCUGUCCUUCAUAAGAUUAAGCUCUCUUACUUCACUGAACAGCAGCAGAAACAUGCCUGGAUCUGGUCCAAACAGAUAACGACCAAAGUGAUUAUUCAGUGCAAAGGGGACAGCAGCAAGCAGUGCCUGUAUGAUUACUCAGCCUUUGCUCAAUAUUCCAUCAGCAGGGGGGAAGACAAUGGAAAAUCAAGCCAAAAGACUCGGAUUUCCACUUUCUUUGGCAGUUGCAUUGAAAAUUACAAGGCCUGGGAACUGAGUGGGACAAGAGAAACCUGUACUGUCUUUGACUCACUGAGCAUCUCUCUGCAAGCCUUAGAUAAAGCAUUUGGGGAUGAAGCUCCACUUCUGUUGUCUCUAGGUACCUGCCUCUGGAAAUAAGCUGUGUGCUCAUACUGAUGUUCUUUUUUUUCCUCCAGUCUUAAAGCUAAAUUAUUUCCAAAGAAUACAAAUAGAAGAAAACCUCAGAGAGCUCUUGAAAGCCACGCAUACUGGUC
RNAcentral lists this long non-coding RNA (914 nucleotides) under Gallus gallus (chicken). RNAcentral describes it as "long non-coding RNA NONGGAT007963". The record is from RNAcentral. Lineage: Eukaryota; Metazoa; Chordata; Aves; Galliformes; Phasianidae.